Molecule: ribosomal RNA, 250 nt
Filed under: uncultured bacterium
Lineage: Bacteria
Description: partial 16S ribosomal RNA
Rfam family: Bacterial small subunit ribosomal RNA
Source: RNAcentral
GCAAGUCGAGGGGUAACAGGGAUUGCUUGCAAUCCGCUGACGAGUGGCGAACGGGUGAGUAAUAUAUCGGAACGUACCCAAGAGUGGGGGAUAACGUAGCGAAAGUUACGCUAAUACCGCAUACGAUCUAAGGAUGAAAGCAGGGGACCUUCGGGCCUUGUGCUCCUGGAGCGGCCGAUAUCUGAUUAGCUAGUUGGUGAGGUAAAGGCUCACCAAGGCGACGAUCAGUAGCUGGUCUGAGAGGACGACC